Molecule: unclassified non-coding RNA, 288 nt
Filed under: Hevea brasiliensis (rubber tree)
Lineage: Eukaryota; Viridiplantae; Streptophyta; Magnoliopsida; Malpighiales; Euphorbiaceae
Source: RNAcentral
UCGAAGGUCUGACCGGAGGAGACAACAACAGGGUCGUACAUUAAGGAUCCAGAAAUGGGGCAAAGGAACUCUUUUGGAGGAUGAGUAGAUUUGUGGUUGGAGUUGGAGCGACGGUAGAAGGAGAUUUUCCAUCUGUGCUUGCCAUUACCACCCAUAGCUUGAAAAAGUAGUAGAGAUGAAUUGUGGCAAGAAGCUUUUGAAGUUGGGGUUUUUAUUAACAGGAAGAAGACUGGGUCUGAAGGUCUGGUUUUUAGUCUUACUCGGCUAAAGCAGCUAGUUUUCUUGUCU